RNAcentral lists this ribosomal RNA (609 nucleotides) under uncultured Gammaproteobacteria bacterium. RNAcentral's name for it is "partial 16S ribosomal RNA". It matches the Rfam family "Bacterial small subunit ribosomal RNA", at positions 1 to 604 of the family's 1533-position model. Lineage: Bacteria; Pseudomonadati; Pseudomonadota; Gammaproteobacteria. The record is from RNAcentral.
GCCAUGGCGGCCGCGGGAAUUCGAUUAGAGUUUGAUCAUGGCUCAGAUUGAGCGCUGGGGGCAGGCCUAACACAUGCAAGUCGAGCGGUAGAGAGGUGCUUGCACCUCUUGAGAGCGGCGGACGGGUGAGUAAUGCCUAGGAAUCUGCCUGGUAGUGGGGGAUAAGCUCGGAAACGGACGCUAAUACCGCAUACGUCCUACGGGAGAAAGCAGGGGACCUUCGGGCCUUGCGCUAUCAGAUGAGCCUAGGUCGGAUUAGCUAGUUGGUGAGGUAAUGGCUCACCAAGGCGACGAUCCGUAACUGGUCUGAGAGGAUGAUCAGUCACACUGGAACUGAGACACGGUCCAGACUCCUACGGGAGGCAGCUGUGGGGAAUAUUGGACAAUGGGCGAAAGCCUGAUCCAGCCAUGCCGCGUGUGUGAAGAAGGUCUUCGGAUUGUAAAGCACUUUAAGUUGGGAGGAAGGGCAUUAACCUAAUACGUUAGUGUUUUGACGUUACCGACAGAAUAAGCACCGGCUAACUCUGUGCCAGCAGCCGCGGUAAUACGAAUCACUAGUGAAUUCGCGGCCGCCUGCAGGUCGACCAUAUGGGAGAGCUCCCAACGCGU